UCCUCCUUCCUCCAUAUCUGGUUUUUCUCUGCCGCGCAACUCAAAACAAAUAAAACACAGCACACACAUCACGCCGCCGCUGCACUUCCUCUUCCUGCCGCGUCGGUCCUCCUCCCCCCCGUCGCUGAGCUCUUCCUCUUCCUGCCGCGUCGGUCCUCCUCUCCACCCGCCACAGCACAAACAUCACAUGCGGUUGCUCUAUAUUGAACUAAUUCAGGGCAAGUUGAUGCAAUCCGUUUGGGGAUCAGCAGAGCAUUACAAAGUUGGGAACCUGGGUUGCGUUAUCUACUCAAUGAAAGAAGGAAGAGAAAGAAAUAGAGGGGUAAGGGGCGAAACUGAAACAAAAAAAAGUUACACAAAAGAGAUAGCAGAAGAAGAAGGGGCACAUUAAAAGCACAGAAAAGAGAAGAAGCCAUGUCGGGAGCUCUGAAAGGAGAAAUAUCUAGACCAAGGACUCAAGGAGGGAAGGAAGAUGAACCAGCCACACGAAUAAAGAAAACCCAAAACUGAAACAAUGAAACAACGGGACCUUAGCUCUGGGUUUUCUGCUCAGGUGUGGGGGAAAGUUUUGUCUUUGUUGCAGUUUCAUAGAGCUCCUGAGGGGUUUUCAGCUGAGUUAACUUGGAUCACUAAGGUCUGCAAGAAAGGGGGCAAAGGCAGAAGCUGAUAGUGCCUUUCUUUGCUGAAAUAGUGUACUCUAUAUGGCUUAAUAGGAAUGAUAAGGUUUACAACAAUCAUUAUUCUACAGGACAGAUGCAGGGCAAAUGCAAACGAAAUGAGCUACGGGUUAUGCCAGGAGCUAACUGGAUCAGACCAGAAUCUUCCCUCUACUAGCAACAUGUCGUCCAGCCUUCAACGGCUUCAGCUAAAAAGGCAAUAACUGAAAAACUAUAUUAACGCUGCUCCUGCAGUAAACAUAAACCCAGCACCACCUAAUUGGAUUCCUGUUUGCCAGUACUGAGACUUAACUGUAUCUGAAU
This is a long non-coding RNA of Spinacia oleracea (spinach), 980 nucleotides long. RefSeq lists it as uncharacterized. NCBI's taxonomy places the organism in Eukaryota, Viridiplantae, Streptophyta, Magnoliopsida, Caryophyllales, Amaranthaceae. The transcript is spliced from 4 exons. The record is from RefSeq and is a predicted model, not a curated record.